RNAcentral lists this ribosomal RNA (592 nucleotides) under Azumapecten farreri. Its description in RNAcentral is "partial 16S ribosomal RNA". It matches the Rfam family "Bacterial large subunit ribosomal RNA", at positions 1825 to 2597 of the family's 2925-position model. Lineage: Eukaryota; Metazoa; Mollusca; Bivalvia; Pectinida; Pectinidae. The record is from RNAcentral.
GGCUUUCUGAAGAACAUGGGGGGUCGUGCCUUCCCAGUGGGCAUACGAGCCUAAACGGACGCGGUAAAUCGUGCUAAGGUAGCUAAAUUAUGGCCUAUUAAUUGUAGGUCCUGUGAAUGGUUUGACGAGUCCUCGACUGUCUCGAGGUUGUUUUGGUGAACUUGAAUUGAAUGUGCAAAUGCUUUCAUGGGAAAGAAAGACGAGAAGACCCCGUGAAGUUAGAAAUUCCUAUUACAGCGUUAAUCCGCUUUGAUGUUUGUAGAUCAGGCGUUUUAGAACUUUAAUUUUCCAAUACGGCUAGAGUUAGGGGUAUUGGAUGUUUAUAGUUUUUAAGUAGGGGAGUGUGGUUUUGAUGAGUUUUGGCUGGGGCAGCAAAGAGGCAAAACUAGACCUCUUUAGACACACAACGGGUGCGUUACGACCCACAAAAAUGAAUUGUGUGAUUAGCAGAAUGAGUUACUCCGGGGAUAACAGCGUAAUCUUCCUUGAUAGUUCUUAUAGAUGGGCGGGUUUGCGACCUCGAUGUUGGCUCUGGGUAUCCUGAGGCUUGCAGGCGGUCUCAAGGGUUGGUUCGUUCGCCCAUUAAAACCUG